Molecule: ribosomal RNA, 506 nt
Filed under: uncultured bacterium
Lineage: Bacteria
Description: partial 16S ribosomal RNA
Rfam family: Bacterial small subunit ribosomal RNA
Source: RNAcentral
GUUGAACGCUGGCGGCAGGCCUAACACAUGCAAGUCGAACGGUAACAGGAAACAGCUUGCUGUUUCGCUGACGAGUGGCGGACGGGUGAGUAAUGUCUGGGAGACUGCCUGAUGGAGGGGGAUAACUACUGGAAACGGUAGCUAAUACCCCCUAACGUCGCAAGACCAAAGAGGGGGACCUUCGGGCCUCUCGCGAUCGGAUGUGCUCGGAGGGGAUUAGCUAGUAGGUGGGGUAACGGCUCACCUAGGCGACGAUCCCUAGCUGGGCUGAGAGGAUGACCAGCCACACUGGAACUGAGACACGGUCCAGACUCCUACGGGAGGCAGCAGUGGGGAAUAUUGCACAAUGGGCGCAAGCCUGAUGCAGCCAUGCCGCGUGUAUGAAGAAGGCCUUCGGGUUGUAAAGUACUUUCAGCGGGGAGGAAGGGAGUAAAGUUAAUACCUUUGCUCAUUGACGUUACCCGCAGAAGAAGCACCGGCUAACUCCGUGCCAGCAGCCGCCGUAA